This 252-nucleotide ribosomal RNA is filed under the name uncultured bacterium. RNAcentral describes it as "partial 16S ribosomal RNA". It matches the Rfam family "Bacterial small subunit ribosomal RNA", at positions 525 to 776 of the family's 1533-position model. The record is from RNAcentral.
ACGGGGGGUGCAAGCGUUAUUCGGAAUUACUGGGCGUAAAGAGCGCGUAGGCGGUCUCGUAAGUCGGGUGUGAAAGCCCGGGGCUCAACCCCGGAAGUGCAUUCGAAACUAUGGGACUUGAGUAUGGGAGAGGGAAGUGGAAUUCCUGGUGUAGCGGUGAAAUGCGUAGAUAUCAGGAGGAACAUCGGUGGCGAAGGCGACUUCCUGGACCAAUACUGACGCUGAGGCGCGAAGGCGUGGGGAGCAAACAGG